ACGAAGGGGGCUAGCGUUGUUCGGAAUUAUUGGGCGUAAAGGGCGCGUAGGCGGCUUGAUAAGUCAAAGGUGAAAUCCCUCGGCUCAACUGAGGAACUGCCUUUGAAACUGUCUGGCUUGAGGCCGGGAGGGGGUAGCGGAAUUCCCAGUGUAGCGGUGAAAUGCGUAGAUACUGGGAGGAACACCGGUGGCGGAGGCGGCAUCCUGGACCGAUAUUGACGCUGAUGCGCGAAAGCCAGGGGAGCAAACGGGA
Molecule: ribosomal RNA, 253 nt
Filed under: uncultured prokaryote
Description: partial 16S ribosomal RNA
Rfam family: Bacterial small subunit ribosomal RNA
Source: RNAcentral